Carcharodon carcharias (great white shark) is the source of this 1275-nucleotide non-coding RNA. Lineage: Eukaryota; Metazoa; Chordata; Chondrichthyes; Lamniformes; Lamnidae. The record is from the annotation of a RefSeq genome assembly.
AUGUACAAGAACAUUCUAUUGGUGGUGCGGAAGUUGGAUAUGUACCCCGUAACCGCCUCAAUGAGCGAAUCAGCAACUGGUGUCCAGUCAGAUGUUGUGCUGACUCAGCCAGAGGCAGUGAGCGGGUUUCCUGGAGGUUCCCUGAGACUGACAUGUAAAACCAAUGGAUUCAAUCUUGGCAGUCAAUGGAUGGCCUGGUUCCGGCAGGUCCCUGGAGAAGGCUUGGUUUGGAUGUUUUACUACCGUGAUUCGUCCGGGAGCCAUCAUGCCCCAGGGGUUGAAAUCCGAUUUACUGCCUCAAAAGACACUUCAAGCAACAUUUUUGCUUUGGACCUGAAGAACCUGACAACCGAAGACACCGCCAUAUAUUACUGUGCAAUGAUGUCACAUGGAAAUAAAGCGCAACAACCUAAAGUGAAACUGUUUGGGGACUGGUUCAGUCACACGCUCUAUACCUGCCAGGUCACUCAUAAAGAGGCCACUCAAAGCCGAAACAUCACCAGACCUGAGGUUUCUGAAUGCACCGAUCCGGUGAUUACUCUACAGCCACCGCCAAUAGAACAGGUCUUACUGGAGGUGACAGUGACCUUAACCUGCACCGUGAGUAACGCCCCUUAUGGAGUCCUCGUAUCCUGGGCCCAAGAAAAGAAGCCUUUGAAAUCAGAGAUUGCUGUCCAGCCAGGAGAGGUUCCUAAUGGCGUGGUCAGCCACCUGAACAUCUCAACACAAGCCUGGCUGAGUGGGGCUGAGUUCUACUGCGUGGUGAGCCAUCAGGAUAUGCCGACUCCUUUAAGAAAGUCCAUCCACAAGGAGGAAGCUAAAUAUCCGCUGGAACCGUCCAUCUCUGUCCUCCUGCCCCUGGCUGAAGAUGUCUCCCCUCAGAGAUUCAUCUCCCUCAGCUGCUUAGUGAGAGGUUUCUCCCCCCGAGAGAUCUUCGUCAAGUGGACCGUCAAUGACAAGCCGGUGAAUCCAGGGAACUACAGGAACACCGAGGUGAUGGCGGAGAACGGCAAUAACUCCUUCUUCAUGUACAGCCUGUUAUCCAUUGCAGCGGAGGAGUGGGCCAGCGGCGAUUCUUACUCCUGUGUGGUGGGACAUGAAGCGAUUCCCUUGAAGAUUAUCAACAGAAUGGUUGAUAAAUCCAGUGAUUCCACAGACCGCAUCUGGAUUGAAGACAAUGAGGACGAUAAUGGGAACAUCUGGACAACCGCUUCCACAUUCAUCGUCCUGUUCGUCCUGAGCAUUUUCUACAGCACUGCCGUCACUCUGGUGAAG